UACGGGGGGGGCAAGCGUUGUUCGGAAUUACUGGGCGUAAAGGGCUCGUAGGCGGCCAACUAAGUCAGACGUGAAAUCCCUCGGCUUAACCGGGGAACUGCGUCUGAUACUGGAUGGCUUGAGUUUGGGAGAGGGAUGCGGAAUUCCAGGUGUAGCGGUGAAAUGCGUAGAUAUCGGGAGGAACACCAGUGGCGAAGGCAGCUCUCUGGGACGGUACUGACGCUGAGACGCGAAAGCGUGGGGAGCGAACAGG
This 253-nucleotide ribosomal RNA is filed under the name uncultured bacterium. RNAcentral describes it as "partial 16S ribosomal RNA". It matches the Rfam family "Bacterial small subunit ribosomal RNA", at positions 524 to 776 of the family's 1533-position model. The record is from RNAcentral.